Brassica napus (rape) is the source of this 1880-nucleotide long non-coding RNA. RefSeq lists it as uncharacterized. The transcript has 10 exons. The record is from RefSeq and is a predicted model, not a curated record. NCBI's taxonomy places the organism in Eukaryota, Viridiplantae, Streptophyta, Magnoliopsida, Brassicales, Brassicaceae.
CGUCUUCUCAUCUUUCUCCUCAUACAAAAACGUUUCCCGUUUCUUCAGUCGAGAUUGUCUUCUCAUCUCCCGUACUUCCUCCAUCUUUCAUGAUUAUAUAUGUCAAAGUCACCAACAAUAGAUCAAUCCAAUUGUUUGUUUUAAUUUCAUCACCUACACUUCAAUUCGAAAUACAAUUUCCAGUUUCAAAGUUACAUCGACUUGGGAGUACUCCGGGUAUCAUUGUAAAAUGCCUCUAAUCAUGUUUUCGGAUUUCGCCUAACCAUGUAUCAGAUCCCUGUUUGCUUCAUCAUCCCUUAAAUCAGAGAAAUAUGAGUCGUACCAUGGUGAACAAGGCCUUAAAGGCUAACCAAAUCAGAACCGGAGCUGAACGCAAGAGAUCUUCUGUGGCAUGUUUAGCCUUAGGUAUGUCCUUGAAGACGACAGUUCCCACACGAACACAACGGCAACCCAAACUCAGAAGAAGUUUCUGUCGAGUUUCUCAUUCCUGGUUAAAAAAAAAACUGGUGAGAUUUUCAGUUGAUCAUCUGAGGUAUGGAUACACAAACAUGAUGCAAGAGAAAGGCAUAAGGAGCACAUGUAUUAAUACAUAUUUCUACUCAGUUCCACUUAAUUACCAGAAGGAUGGUUUCAAACUUCAACCGACUGUACCAUAUCUCAAAUCCGUUUUGAAUCGGUGUAUCUAAAGUUUAUGUAAAUCGACGAUUUGUUUCCAGGCCUAUAUGUUGGUGCAUUCGGACCUAAAGGCACUGAGAUAGUACAACUUCAUUGUCAGUAUGGACACUAAAGUGAUGUAGAGGAAAGCAACUCCUCAAAUAUUGAGUUCUUUGAAUAUACUGAUGCUGUGAAGUUACAUGGGAUCCAAAUAUGUCGGCUGGCCAGAAAAUAUUUUGUGCAAGAGUUGGAAGGGAAGUCGUGUGAGGAAUCGUGGAUUCUAUAGGAAAUGGUGUGCUUUGGAGAUGCAUGUGUUGGAGGGCCGCUUUUAAAACUCAAUGGAAUGGUGAGACAAUAUAGACAACCCGUCAGUUAUUUGUCCCGGAAUGCGACCAUACGGGAUAGGUGGGGUUCUAAAUAACACAUGUGUUGGACACAAGAACUUAAUGAGGCUUUUGUUGACGCUGUGCCUAAUCAGCUUGGCGGUAGUCAACUGGCGCUUACCAUUCUCUUGGACUUCUUCUUUCAACCAUAGGAGCCACGCCUUAGACUGUUCUGAAUAACAUAGGUUUUGUUCUUAUCCUGACUAUUUAUUUCGUUUUCUUGCAAUUCAUGUUGUUACAGUUAUCUCCUUUUGUAUUUUCUUACGGAGAGAAAUACAGAAAGCAAAAGCAUAAGCAGGAGACUUUGGAAGCUACAGCAUAUACUUUCACAAAUACUUUUGUGCUUUCCUGAGCUAUAAACCACAUAUGGGUCUUGAAAAUUAAUCAUUCCUUAGAGAGGCUAAUGUCUCUAAGGCAACAGGUUACAAAGGAACCCAUAUUUUUGAUAACUGUGUUUCUUUCUUCACAGGGGAACCUCGAGAGAAGAAGAUGACAUCAACGGAAGAAAUCAAAUAUCUUGACAUGUUAACGAGCAUUGAGAUCGUAGAAUCUUUAAGGUUACAAACUGAAGUUCAGAAACACCUCCAUCUCCAGCUUGAGACAAGCAAUUCUCUGUUCGGGAGACUUCAUUGCGGUCAGGUGCGAGGGACCAGUUUAUCAUAGAGAAAGCAUAGCACGCAGAUUGAGGUUGACUCAGUCAUGGCAAUCUAAGAUAUUGAGGUUUUGAUAUUUUUAAGGCACGUGUUUUACUUUUCGUUAUACCAGAAAUUUUGGUCAUGCUGAACCACUCUCCUUAAAUGAUCGACUCAUAUAAAUAAUAUAUAUUAAAAAAAAAUUGAUGCA